This 506-nucleotide ribosomal RNA is filed under the name uncultured bacterium. Its description in RNAcentral is "bacterial SSU rRNA". It matches the Rfam family "Bacterial small subunit ribosomal RNA", at positions 17 to 518 of the family's 1533-position model. The record is from RNAcentral.
UCCUGGCUCAGGAUGAACGCUGGCGGCGUGCCUAACACAUGCAAGUCGAACGGAGCUAUAACGGAACAAGGCUUCGGCCGAGGGAAGACUUAGCUUAGUGGCGGACGGGUGAGUAACGCGUGAGUAACCUGCCUUUCAGAGGGGGAUAACGUCCGGAAACGGACGCUAAUACCGCAUAACGUAUCAUUGUCGCAUGGCAGAGAUACCAAAGAUUUUAUCGCUGAGAGAUGGACUCGCGUCUGAUUAGAUAGUUGGUGAGGUAACGGCCCACCAAGUCGACGAUCAGUAGCCGGACUGAGAGGUUGAACGGCCACAUUGGGACUGAGACACGGCCCAGACUCCUACGGGAGGCAGCAGUGGGGAAUAUUGCACAAUGGGCGCAAGCCUGAAUGCAGCAACGCCGCGUGAGGGAGGACGGUUUUCGGAUUGUAAACCUCUGUCUUUGGUGACGAAGAAGUGACGGUAGCCAAGGAGGAAGCCACGGCUAACUACGUGCCAGCAGCGGC